CAAUAGCGUAUAUUAAAGUUGUUGCAGUUAAAAAGCUCGUAGUUGGAUUUCGGGGUGGCCUGCCUGGUCCACCGCAAGGUGAGUACUGGUCAGCCGCCCUUCCUCUCGAAAGCCCCGACUGCUCUUCAUUGCAGUGGUCGGGUAGUCCGGGACGUUUACUUUGAAAAAAUUAGAGUGUUCAAGGCAGGCUCUCGCCUGAAUACAUUAGCAUGGAAUAAUGGAAGAGGACCUCGGUCUUAUUUUGUUGGUUUCUAGGGCCGAAGUAAUGAUUAAGAGGGACAGUUGGGGGCAUUCGUAUUUAAUUGUCAGAGGUGAAAUUCUUGGAUUUAUGAAAGACGAACUAGUGCGAAAGCAUUUGCCAAGGAUGUUUUCAUUAA
Molecule: ribosomal RNA, 377 nt
Filed under: uncultured eukaryote
Lineage: Eukaryota
Description: partial 18S ribosomal RNA
Rfam family: Eukaryotic small subunit ribosomal RNA
Source: RNAcentral